Non-coding RNA from Paramisgurnus dabryanus, 2470 nucleotides. Lineage: Eukaryota; Metazoa; Chordata; Actinopteri; Cypriniformes; Cobitidae. The record is from RefSeq and is a predicted model, not a curated record.
CACCUUAUUUUUCACGACAACAAGGGCGGCGCCAUUUCGCUCAUUUUGUCAACGUUCUUCCGGCCGCAUAGACGAUGAGCAGCUGAGGCAGUGACUGAAGGCGACGUGUUAAGCUUAAAAAGCUCACUCGAGCGCCUUUUGUUUCUUUCUUACCAAUUUUAAGCCAACUGAGGAACACCCUUAUCCCAAUUAAUGGUUCGACUACGAUGUUCCGGUAACUUUAAACCACGCCGGGUGUUGAAAAGGUGGCCAGUUUCAGAUGCAUUGAUGUUUAGUGAUGCAGUGGACAACUGUGAGGAUGAUACAAUCAACAUGUUCCUAAACUGUGAUGCAGAAACACAGUGGCCCUCAUUUAUCAAACGUGCGUACACCAAAUUUCCAGCGUACACCUGGCGUACACCCAAAACCACGGUGACUUUGAGAUUUAUCAAUAUGGACGUUGAAGUACGGCACGCUCAAAUCCUACGCCAGCUCAGGAGGUGGUGUACGCACAUUUUGAGUUAGUGCAGAAAUGCGCAAACAAUUCCUAACAACACAAAACGCACUGACAAACUAAAAUAUAUGAUAUAUUAUGACCCACUGUAAAAAACUAAAACUAUAUUAUGCAACAUGUACUUCAAUGUUUAAUUUGUGAGACUUUACCAAAGCAUUUGAUUUGUAGGCAUAUGUAUUCCUUCAGUUGAGAGCCUGGGCGCUUUACCUGACGUUUCAGGGCAAAGCAUGUGAGCGGAGCGGAGCCUUGAGCGGUGCGGUAAUAUUACCAUCAAAGCGCCUCUCUAAAGAUCCGCUCGCUCAGCACCGAGCGGCACAUUGCAAGAAAGCACAAGGAUGUGCUACGAAAACAUGGUAAUAAUGCAUCAAAAGGUAAGCUAGUUACAUACUAUUCGAUGAUAAAUAAAUAGCUACACAUGAAUAGGUAAGGUAAAAUGCUUGUGUUGAAUGGAGCCAUAAAUCCGAUCAUGAUGACAUGCGGACAAAAUCAUGGCCACGAAUUAUCUUUUAUGCUACAUUAUGGACACUUCUUUUUCUUAUUUAGUUUAAAGUAAAUAUUCAACAGUUUGUUCCUUGGAAUUAAUUAUUAUAAUAUUUCGUAAUUACUAUUACAAUUAUUAUUACUUCAAAUUAUGAAUAAGCCUAGUAAAACAUGUGGAUGUCGUGGAAACAAAUUGUUAAUUUGAAUUAUAUCCGGAGCUCCGUAUCAAACUGGAUCUUAGCUAACAAACAACUGUAUGUAAACACAGAAAAACACACUACAAAAGUUACUACAUCAUUUUUAAAAUAUUAUUAAAAAAAAACUUAACCGAACCAUUAAGCAGACAUAUAAUUUAGAUGUAGGCAACAUUACAUAAUAAUAAUAAUAAUAAUAAUAAUAAUAAUAAUAAAUAAUUAUUCUUCUAAAUAUCAAUAAAGCGUCUUUAAUAAUAAAAAUAAUAAUACAAAUAUUACAAAACGUCAUGCAAUUAUUAAUGUUUCUUUAGUCCCUCUAUUUAAACUCCCAAAUAAAACAAUUUUGUUUCUUUCCACUUCCCUGGUUUCUCCUCUUUGCCGUCUUCCAUGUGUCAAUGUCGUAAAAUGAGGGCGUGGGAGAGGUGGAGACUUGAAUUUAUAUGGGCGUGUUAUUCUAAUGACGAUCGUUUUCAGCCGCCGCAUUUAUGAAGGGCAGAUAUUGCUUACACCUGAAUUUCAGAGGUACGCACAGUUUCAUAAAUCAGGCGGUGAGACGAGUGUAAGCGUAAUCUUACGCCAACAUAUACGCCCGUUUCUACGCAAGAAUGAUAAAUGAGGGCCAAUGGGAGCAUCUAUCCGUCUCUGAACACAACUACACUUUAAAAUCACAACUCAACCUGAAGCAACCUACAUCUGAUAUGGGAAAACACUGGUGCGGUUUCCCGGACAGGGCUUAUCCUGGUCCCAGGCUAAAAUGCAUAUUUGAGCUACAAUAAUUUAAAAACACCUUUUACUGACAUACCUCAACAUAUAUGAGUGCCAUUGUUUUGUCACAAGAUGCGCACCAGUCUUGUUUUUUUUGUAGGGUUUGUUUGUAAAAACUAAAAUGUCCUAAUAUAAUUAAGGCCUAGUCCUGUAAACCCUGUCCGAGAAACUGCUUCAAUGUGUUGAGCUGGCACAAAUGUACAUAUCUCUACUGAGAAACAACCAUCUUUGUCAGCUUUAAACAGGGUUGAUAUUGCAUCCAUUACACAGUCGCCAAGCACUUUACCAGUACAUACACCAACAGCUUCCAGAUAUACGCUUGGGAUCAGCUCCUGAUGACUCCGAUAAAGCUGUGUCUUAAUUUAUUGCAGGGUGGUCUUGCUUUACCUGUUGUAAAGUUACAUUAAACCUUCAUAUGUGAUCAGAUGUCAUGCAGUGAUAUUAAACAUUUACAGUGUGAUCAGAUGUUGUGCAUUUUAAUUAAACCUUUACAAUGUGAUCAGAUGUUGUGCAAUUAUAUUAAACCUUUACAAUGUGA